RNAcentral lists this ribosomal RNA (492 nucleotides) under uncultured bacterium. Its description in RNAcentral is "partial 16S ribosomal RNA". It matches the Rfam family "Bacterial small subunit ribosomal RNA", at positions 30 to 507 of the family's 1533-position model. The record is from RNAcentral.
AUUGAACGCUGGCGGUAGGCCUAACACAUGCAAGUCGAGCGGCAGCAGGGUGCUUGCUUCCGGUUUCGGGGGGCGAGGGGCGGGCGAUGCCUAAGAACAUCGCUGUCUGCGGGGGCUAAGGGGCGGACAUGGGGGCACAUACCCUAAUACCGCAGAGGACGUACGGGGGGGAGCAGCGGAUCUUCCGCCCUUGCGCGAGCGUAUGUGCGGGUGUCGGAUUAGCGAGUUGGAGGGGUAAAGGCCUACCAAGGCGACGAUCCGUAGCUGGUCUGAGAGGAUGAUCAGUCACACUGGAACUGAGACACGGUCCAGACUCCUACGGGAGGCAGCAGUGGGGAAUAUUGGACAAUGGGCGAAAGCCUGAUCCAGCCAUGCCGCGUGUGUGAAGAAGGUCUUCGGAUUGUAAAGCACUUUAAGUUGGGAGGAAGGGCAGUAAGUUAAUACCUUGCUGUUUUGACGUUACCAACAGAAUAAGCACCGGCUAACUUCGUG